GAUGAAGAACGCAGCGAAAUGCGAUAAGUAAUGUGAAUUGCAGAAUUCAGUGAAUCAUCGAAUCUUUGAACGCACCUUGCGCCCUUUGGCCAUUCCGAAGGGCAUGCCUGUUUGAGUAUCAUGAACACCUCAACUCUCAUGGCUUGCCAUGAUGAGCUUGGACUUUGGGGGUCUUGCUGGCCUGCGGCCAGCUCCUCUCAAAUGAAUUAGCUUUCCAGUGUUUGGUUGGCAUCACAGGUGUGAUAACUAUCUACGCUUGUGGUUUCCACCAGGUAACCUUCAGUAACAUGGGGGUUUGCUGGAGCUCAUAAAUGUCUCUCCUCAGUGGGGACAGCUCUUUGAACGUUUGAUCUCAAAUCAGGUAGGACUACCCGCUGAACUUAAGCAUAUCAUAAGCGGAGGA
This 403-nucleotide unclassified non-coding RNA is filed under the name soil metagenome. RNAcentral's name for it is "partial contains 5.8S ribosomal RNA, internal transcribed spacer 2, and large subunit ribosomal RNA". The stretch from base 1 to 121 matches the Rfam family "5.8S ribosomal RNA", at positions 35 to 154 of the family's 154-position model. The record is from RNAcentral.